Molecule: ribosomal RNA, 558 nt
Filed under: uncultured bacterium
Lineage: Bacteria
Description: bacterial SSU rRNA
Rfam family: Bacterial small subunit ribosomal RNA
Source: RNAcentral
GCUUUACACAAGCGGUGGGCCAUGUGGCUCAAUUCGACGCUAAACGAGGAACCUUACCAGGGCUUGAAAAACUAGUGAAACACCGAGAAAUCGGGACUACCCACAAGGACACUAGUCCAGGUGCUGCAUGGUUGUCGUCAGCAUGUGUUUUGAAAUGCACGCUUAAAUGCGGUAACAUGCGCAACCCCUACUCUAUGUUUUAUAUGUCAUAGAGAACUGCCUGGGAUAACCAGGAGGAAGGUGGGGAUGACGCCAAAUCAGCAUGGCCCUUUGAUGCCCUGGGCUGCACACAUGGUACAAUGGGACUGACAACGAGUUGCGAAGGGGUAACCCGGAGCUAAUCUCUUAAACAGUUCCCCAGUUCGGAUUGAGGUCUGAAGCUCGACCUCAUGAAGUUGGAAUCGCUAGUAAUCGCCAAUCAGCUAUGUGGCGAUGAAUACGUCCCUGAAGCUUGUACUCACUGCCCGUCACAUUAAGGGAGCCGGCAGUAGCCGAAAUUCUAUCAUUAAGAUGGACCUAAGCUAAGGUCGGUAACAAGAAUGAAGUCGUAACAAGGUA